AGAGUUUGAUCAUGGCUCAGGAUGAACGCUAGCUACAGGCUUAACACAUGCAAGUCGAGGGGAAACGACAUCGAAAGCUUGCUUUUGAUGGGCGUCGACCGGCGCACGGGUGAGUAACGCGUAUCCAACCUGCCCACCACUUGGGGAUAACCUUGCGAAAGUAAGACUAAUACCCAAUGACGUCUCUAGAAGACAUCUGAAGGAGAUUAAAGAUUUAUCGGUGAUGGAUGGGGAUGCGUCUGAUUAGCUUGUUGGCAGGGUAACGGCCACAAGGCGACGAUCGAGUAGGGGUUCUGAGAGGAAGGUCCCCCANAUUGGAACUGAGACACGGUCCAAACUCCUACGAGAGGCA
RNAcentral lists this ribosomal RNA (352 nucleotides) under uncultured bacterium. RNAcentral describes it as "bacterial SSU rRNA". It matches the Rfam family "Bacterial small subunit ribosomal RNA", at positions 8 to 350 of the family's 1533-position model. The record is from RNAcentral.